This 2784-nucleotide long non-coding RNA is filed under the name Sus scrofa (pig). Its description in RNAcentral is "lncRNA (ENSSSCG00005044277.1)". The record is from RNAcentral. Lineage: Eukaryota; Metazoa; Chordata; Mammalia; Artiodactyla; Suidae.
CGCUAUUUCUUUGGGCCGUUUCCGCGGCAUAUGGAGGUUCCCAGGCUAGGGGUCCAAUCGGAGCUGUAGCCACUGGCCUACGCCAGAGCCACAGCAACGCGGGAUCCGAGCCGCGUCUGCGACCUACACCACAGCUCACGGCAACGCCGGAUCGUUAACCCACUGAGCAAGGGCAGGGACCGAACCCGCAACCUCAUGGCUCCUAGUCAGAUUCGUUAACCACUGCGCCACGACGGGAACUCCAAGGCGUGAUUCUGAUAAGAGACCUGGGAUACCUCACGUUGUCUUGUCCUUCACAAGAAAGGUACCGAAGUUCCUACUGUGGCUGGCUCAGCGGUAAGGAGCCUGACUAGUAUCCAUGAGGAUGCAGUUUUGAGAUCCCUGGCCUCACUCAGUGGGUUACAGACACAGUGUUGCCAUGAGCUGUGGUGUAGAUAGCAGAGCACAACUCAGAUCUGGCAUUGCUGUGGCUGUGGUGUAGGCCAGCAGCUGCAGCUGAUUCAACCCGUAGCCUGGGAACUUCCAUAUGCCUCAGUUGGCUCCCCUCUCUUCUACCCUGAAGAGGUAACAAUUGUUGCCAAUUCAAGACAGCCCAAUAAAAAAUGCUUGAGGAUAUUUUCAGUAGCAGAGAAGUAACAAGUAAAUGCUCUUAUAGCCCAACUAAAAUAAACAAAGUUAAACCCCUCAUUCAGGGUACCAAUGGUAAUACUCCCUCCCAGCUUAGCUUCCCAGUCAAAGACCCAAGGAUCUCAAAGCACAAUUCUUUUUUUGUUUGUUUUUUAAGGUCGCACUGGAGACAUAUACCACCGCUCACGGCAACACUGAAUCCCUAAUCCACUGAGCGAGGCCAAGGAUUGAACCCACAUCCUCAUGGAUCUUAGGUUCGUUAACUGCUGAGCCACGAAGGGAACUCCCCACAAUUCUGAUAAGAGACAGGAGAUCCCUUAUGAGGUACCUUUAGGUAGACUAUAAAUGUCAGAUGAAUGAGUUACUGAUGUUGAGAGUUAUCUUAAAUUUGGCAUUUCCUGAACUAAGCAUUUAAAGUGGCAACUUAAUACUGCAUUUAAUGAGUAUUUUUAUGUUCAUGUUCGACAAAAAAACCUUAUGUUCAUUUGCCCAUCUUCUGGGCUUCUAUUUCUGCAGGCCAUACAAACCAAAAAUAUGUUGAUGUCAUGUGCAGCUUCACCUAAGCAAUUUUAACCUGGCCCCUCCUAAAUCAGUCAUUAAGACUCUGUUGGAGGAGGAGUUCCCAUGGUGGUGCAAUGGAAACGAAUUUGACUAGUAAUCAUGAGGUUGCAGGUUCGAUCCUUGGCCUCACUCAGUGGGUUAAGGAUCCAGCAUUGCCUUGAGUUGUGGUGUAGGUGGCAGAUGUGGCUCAGAUCCAGCGUUGCUGUGGCUCUGGCUGGCAGCUGGAAUUCCGAUUAGACCCCAGCCUGUGAACCUCCAUAUGCCAUGGGUGUGGCCCUAAAAGACCAAAAAAAAAAAAGACUCUAUUGGAGUAAUUCCUGCUCUGCCACAAUAAGAUUGGCAGCACCUCUGCAGCACCAGGACGAAGAAGGUUUGAUCCCCGGCCCAGCAUAGUGGGUUAAAAGACAGAUUUGGCUCGGAUCUGAUCGCCGGCCCAGGGGCCAAAAAAGAAAGAAGGAAAAAGAAUCUAUUGGAGUUCUCCUGUGGUGCAGCUGGUUAGGGAUCUGGUGUUGUCACUGCAGACAAGGGUCACUGCUAUGGUGCAGGUUCGAUCCCUAGCUCAGGUAUGGCCAAAAAAUAAAUAAAUAAAUAAGGAAUCUAUCACUCAAGUCUGUUACUGAUAAUGUGUUCCCUUUUCUACAAGCAUAACAGAAGACCAAAUUCAUUUUUAUAGGAAAGAGGUUCUCAGUCCUAAUCUAAGCCCAGCCAACAACUCUCAAAUCAUAUAAAAGCUGCAGGUCUAUAAAAGCUGCAGGUGUUGGCUUUGAUUCCUAUGGCUUAGGAAGAAUCACAACAAUAGUACAUAACACAGCCAUGACAAGACUCAUUUAUGAUAAAGUAUACAUCCCUAAGCAUUCAACAUGGGGAAACAAGAAGAUUCAAAAUGUUAUCUUCUAUUUUCCCAGAGGACCUUGAGAAAUUCCCCCACUCUCCAAUGAUUAUUUCUUCAUAAGCAAAAUGAAAAUGUACUCAUUAAAAUGCCAAAGAUACUAUUUGAUUAACCAUCAAACAACUAUUUCCUAAAGUUACCAGGGACCUCAGCAAGUCAUCUUUGUCAUCUCCCUCAUUUCUUAACAAACACUUGCCUAAAUCACCCUAGAAAGAUAGUUACAAAGUCUUUGUAGUAUCUUGUAGUCAGGAAGUUCUUUCUAAUUUGUAAUCUAUAUCCCUUCUGUUGCAAUUAAAACACGUUCCCUCUCAUCUUGUCCACUCUGGAAAAAGAACAUCUGUUUAACACCACCUGAACAAUAUCUCUUCAAGAGAUUAUAAAAUAUAGGAAGUCCAUUUCAAACAGCUUCAUAUAAAUGCAACAUGGCUUUAAAUGGGUCACCUACACAAAGAGUAUGAUGAAAAGUCUUAAAUUCCCAAUUCCAUCACUGACUUGUUCUGAAGAUGACAGGAAGUUAAAACUAUACAGAUGGUGUACCUCAAAUAUCCCAUCAGUAAAAUGCAAAUAAUAAAACCAGUAUGUUAGGUAAACCCAAUUCCUCAAAAAGUUAAACAUACAGGAAAGAGAUUCUCAAUCCCAAUUUGAACCAGCUCUCACAUCACACACUAUAGAAACUGCAGAUGCUGGAGUUCCCUCAUGGCUCAGUG